CCGUCGCCUCCUCCUCCGCCUCCUCCGGAUGCGCCUCCGCCCUCCCCGGUGCCGCCGUCACCUCCUCCUCCGCCUCCUCCGGAUGCGCCUCCACCCUCCCCGGUGCCGCCGUCGCCUCCUCCUCCGCCUCCUCCGGAUGCGCCUCCACCCUCCCCGGUGCCCCCGUCACCUCCUCCUCCGCCUCCUCCGGAUACGCCUCCACCCAGUCCGCUGCCGCCGUCGCCUCCUCCUCCCAGCCCAGAGCCCGGUGUGCCUCCGCCCAGCCCGGUGCCGCCGUCACCUCCUCCUCCGCCUCCUCCGGAUGCGCCUCCACCCUCCCCGGUGCCCCCGUCACCUCCUCCUCCGCCUCCUCCGGACGCGCCUCCACCCUCCCCGGUGCCGCCGUCGCCUCCUCCUCCGCCUCCUCCGGAUGCGCCUCCACCCUCCCCGGUGCCGCCGUCGCCUCCUCCUCCGCCUCCUCCGGAUGCGCCUCCGCCCAGCCCGGUGCCGCCGUCACCUCCUCCUCCGCCUCCUCCGGAUGCGCCUCCACCCAGCCCUGUGCCCCCGUCGCCUCCUCCUCCCAGCCCAG
RNAcentral lists this long non-coding RNA (568 nucleotides) under Chlamydomonas reinhardtii. Its description in RNAcentral is "long non-coding RNA (CREI_LNC000556)". The record is from RNAcentral. Lineage: Eukaryota; Viridiplantae; Chlorophyta; Chlorophyceae; Chlamydomonadales; Chlamydomonadaceae.